RNAcentral lists this ribosomal RNA (413 nucleotides) under uncultured microorganism. RNAcentral's name for it is "bacterial SSU rRNA". It matches the Rfam family "Archaeal small subunit ribosomal RNA", at positions 330 to 745 of the family's 1478-position model. The record is from RNAcentral.
GCGCACCAGGCGCGAAACCUCCGCAAUACACGAAAGUGUGACGGGGCCAUCCCGAGUGCCGUCCGCUGAGGACGGCUUUUCCCCAGUGUACACAGCUGGGGGAAUAAGGAGAGGGCAAGCCUGGUGUCAGCCGCCGCGGUAAUACCAGCUCUCCGAGUGGUGGGGACGCUUAUUGGGCCUAAAGCAUCCGUAGCCGGCUGGGCAAGUCCUCCGUUAAAUCCAACGAUUCAAUCGUUGGGCUGCGGGGGAUACUGUCCAGCUUGGGGGCGGGAGAGGCCGACGGUAUUCCCGGGGUAGGGGUGAAAUCCUAUAAUCCCGGGAGGACCACCAGUGGCGAAGGCUGUCGGCUAGAACGCGCCCGACGGUGAGGGAUGAAAGCUGGGGGAGCGAACCGGAUUAGAUACCCCUGUAGU